This 67-nucleotide transfer RNA is filed under the name Apocheima cinerarius. Its description in RNAcentral is "tRNA-Ala". Lineage: Eukaryota; Metazoa; Arthropoda; Insecta; Lepidoptera; Geometridae. The record is from RNAcentral.
AGUUUAACAAAAAAACAUUUUGUUUUGGUUUCAAAAAAUAUUGAAUCUCCUUUUUUCUUAAAAAAAA